This 504-nucleotide ribosomal RNA is filed under the name uncultured bacterium. RNAcentral's name for it is "partial 16S ribosomal RNA". It matches the Rfam family "Bacterial small subunit ribosomal RNA", at positions 28 to 523 of the family's 1533-position model. The record is from RNAcentral.
GAUGAACGCUAGCGGCAGGCUUAAUACAUGCAAGUCGAGGGGCAGCAGCUUUAUAGCAAUAUAGAGGCUGGCGACCGGCAAACGGGUGCGGAACACGUACACAACCUUCCUUUAAGAGGGGGAUAGCCCAUAGAAAUGUGGAUUAAUACCCCGUGACAUAUCGGUGUGGCAUCACACUGUUAUUAUAGUUUCGACGCCUGAAGAUGGGUGUGCGGCUGAUUAGGUAGUUGGCGGGGUAAAGGCCCACCAAGCCUUCGAUCAGUAGCUGAUGUGAGAGCAUGAUCAGCCACACGGGCACUGAGACACGGGCCCGACUCCUACGGGAGGCAGCAGUAAGGAACAUUGGUCAAUGGACGCAAGUCUGAACCAGCCAUGCCGCGUGAAGGAUGAAGGUCCUCUGGAUUGUAAACUUCUUUUAUAGGGGGCGAAAAAAGGGAAUUCUUUCUCACUUGACAGUACCCUAUGAAUAAGCACCGGCUAACUCCGUGCCAGCAGCCGCCGUAA